Molecule: ribosomal RNA, 492 nt
Filed under: uncultured bacterium
Lineage: Bacteria
Description: bacterial SSU rRNA
Rfam family: Bacterial small subunit ribosomal RNA
Source: RNAcentral
GACGCUAGCGACAGGCCUAACACAUGCAAGUCGAGGGGCAGCACAAGGAGCAAUCUGAGGUGGCGACCGGCGCACGGGUGAGUAACACGUAUGCAACCUGCCUGUAAGCGGGGAAUAACCCGUUGAAAGACGGACUAAUACCGCAUAAUACUAAAUUACUGCAUGGUAAUUUAUUUAGACAUUUAUGGCUUACAGAUGGGCAUGCGCAUGAUUAGCUAGUUGGAGAGGUAACGGCUCCCCAAGGCAACGAUCAUUAGGGGUUCUGAGAGGAAGGUCCCCCCACACUGGUACUGAGACACGGACCAGACUCCUACGGGAGGCAGCAGUGAGGAAUAUUGGUCAAUGGACGAGAGUCUGAACCAGCCAAGUCGCGUGCAGGAAGAAUGUCCUAUGGAUUGUAAACUGCUUUUGCAGGGGAAUAAAGUGCAUCACGUGUGAUGUUUUGUAUGUACUCUGCGAAUAAGGAUCGGCUAACUCCGUGCCAGCCGCCGC